Molecule: long non-coding RNA, 1883 nt
Filed under: Mus musculus (house mouse)
Lineage: Eukaryota; Metazoa; Chordata; Mammalia; Rodentia; Muridae
Description: long non-coding RNA chr18:34954047-34955930
Source: RNAcentral
ACAGAAGGUCCGUUACAUCCCUUCGCUCCGGAUUUUUCCUAGAGUCUGACCCCGAAGGGCAAGGCCUGCCUCACUCGAGUCCGGGCCUGGAGCCCCCACCGGAAGGCAUGGCAGCUUCUCACCUGGGGACGGGCGGCUGCGGGGCUCCGGGACGCAGCGGUGCCCACGAGACGCGCGGCCGCGGCUCUGCUGGCGCUUAUCAUGGUGGCUGGACAGAGGGGGUUACGAGGGCAAGAACCAACACCCCACGGGCCCGGAGCUGCGUGCACGGUGGUGGCUACGCUUCUGGAAACCUCCAACCACGUGGGGUGGGGGCGGGGGCUGGCCGCUGCAGCAAUGAAGCCCGCUCUUCUGCUGAGGCGCCCGACGUGCUGCCUGACUAGAGACUACGUGUCCGCUGCUCCCGGGAUCGGCGCACGCCGCCAGCACGCCUCUCAGCAUUAAUCGUUGAAAGUUCCCGUUCUCUCAUCACGGUUUCCAGGGCUGUGGGAGCAGGGAGAAGGGAAAGAGAGAAGAGAGGUGGACAGGCAUCGCUUCGGACAGUCCCGGUCCUUAGGACGGGAAAGACUCAAGGUCACACGGGAUAAAUUACGAACAGAUUACAGUCUCCUUGCGUCAGUUGCGCAGAAGGAGGUGCGUUCUGCGCCUGCGUUCUCCGCUCCGGACAGAGGUCGUGAAGCGCAUGUGUGAGGGGCGUGGAGAAAACGGGUUCGGGUUUAACUGUAGCGUUUAUUGGAUGCUCCAGUGCACGCGAAUUUGCGGGCGAGUGCCGGGGGCGCGAGCUCGCGCGCUCACUGGCAGGCGCGUGGGCGUUGUCCCCGGAGGCCGCGACUUGCUGCGGUCGCCAUCUUGUCCUGAGGCGUUGUUUCGGGGACCUUUGUUCUCCAUCGCUGUUUGUUCGCCGCUUGAAAUGUGCACACCUGAAUGUGCGCGGUCUCACACAAAUUUGGGCAGCGCAUUGCUUCGGUCGGGUUAGGUUCCUAAGCUCUAGGGCAGCAUCGGAUUCACGAAGCUUCGAGUCACUUUUAAGGCUGCCUUGGGAACGAUGAGGGGAGAACUACAUGAGCUCUUAUUGCCCGGUUUGCAAGGCCAGGGGCGCCUCUUUUUCAAACCUUGCGCUUGCCAGAUGUUGAUUAUAAUGUGACGAUUUUUUUUUUUUUCAAAGACAAGGUUUCCGACGGGGUAUGAAUGGCGGGCGCCGGCUGUCACAGAACUAGAUUUAUAGACCAGGCUGGCCUUGAUCCCACCAGUGUACUUCUAGAACGCUGGAAUUAAAGGCCUGCGCCACCCCACCCAACCCCAGGGUUUUACUAGCCUUAGUUGUCCUCACACUCAAGGCUCUACUGCCGGACCCUUUCAAAUGUCUGAAUUACAGAUGGGAGGUACUGAGAGACUUUUAGGGACAAAACCUUGGAACAAAUGUUGUGUCAGGAUUUUCUCGACGGUUGUAAAAACAGGGAUUCAAAGACAGUGAAGUAGAACUUGGUUUUGGAGGUAGCAGUUUGAUAGCAAGAGAAAAUAGUUGGGUAGGAAGUGCUCAUACAGGCUUGUAAUUCCACCGGUCAUCUUUGACCCCAUCAUUCGUUCCAGGCCAACAAGAGCUACAUGAAACUAUCUCAAAAAGAAGUAAUGGUGGUCAUCACUGUAACAAGUUAUGAAGAACGUGUGGGGAAAUUAGGAGAUAAAAUACAGUUAUAUUAUAAAAGAAAGUAGAAGGGAAUGGAAGGUAGCUGGGAAUGGUGCUGUCAGCCUCCAGCACUUGGGUGAGGUUGAACCAGAAAUGCAAGGUCACCUUUGGUGAUAAAAUGAAUUGGGAACCAGCUCGAUGACACUAAGAGUCUGUGAACCUCUUUUUUAACAAGUUAAUAAAAUUAAGUUAAACA